RNAcentral lists this ribosomal RNA (327 nucleotides) under uncultured eukaryote. RNAcentral describes it as "partial 18S ribosomal RNA". It matches the Rfam family "Eukaryotic small subunit ribosomal RNA", at positions 1470 to 1796 of the family's 1831-position model. The record is from RNAcentral.
CCCUUAGAUGUUCUGGGCCGCACGCGCGCUACACUGACGAAUGCAACGAGCUUAUAACCUUGGCCGAAAGGUCUGGGUAAUCUCCAAAUUUCGUCGUGAUGGGGAUAGAUUAUUGCAAUUAUUAAUCUUCAACGAGGAAUGCCUAGUAAGCGCAAGUCAUCAGCCUGCGUUGAUUACGUCCCUGCCCUUUGUACACACCGCCCGUCGCUCCUACCGAUUGAAUGGUCCGGUGAAGCGUUCGGACCGUGGCCUUUGGACGGUUCGCCGUCUGUUGGCUGCGGGAAGUUCGUUAAACCUUAUCAUUUAGAGGAAGGAGAAGUCGUAACA